UCUCCGUAGGUGAACCUGCGGAGGGAUCAUUACUGAGUGAGGGCUUCGGUCCGACCUCCAACCCUUUGUGAAUCGUACUCGUUGCUUCGGGGGCGACCCUGCCGUCCGCGGCUGAGCGCCCCCGGGGUCAAUCAAACACUGCAUUCUCUGCGUCGGAGUAUUAGUAAAUCUAAUCGAAAAUUUCAACAACGGAUCUCUUCGUUCCAGCAUCGAUGAAGAACGCAGC
RNAcentral lists this unclassified non-coding RNA (226 nucleotides) under uncultured fungus. RNAcentral's name for it is "sequence contains ITS1, 5.8S rRNA gene". The stretch from base 178 to 226 matches the Rfam family "5.8S ribosomal RNA", at positions 1 to 49 of the family's 154-position model. The record is from RNAcentral. Lineage: Eukaryota; Fungi.